UACCUUUACAAUGUUUUAGUUCACACAAUGCUUCCCAAUUAAUAAUAUAGAUUCUGGAAAUUGACUUAGUGGUAAAAUCAUGAAC
Molecule: small RNA, 85 nt
Filed under: Arabidopsis thaliana (thale cress)
Lineage: Eukaryota; Viridiplantae; Streptophyta; Magnoliopsida; Brassicales; Brassicaceae
Description: ATSL259060
Source: RNAcentral